ACCCUUCACGCGGCCCUGUCACCCGCCGCGCCCUGCCCGCCGAGGCCCUGGCAGCUGGGGGGUGGGCGCUGUUCGGACGCUGCGCGCGGGACCACCUCUGCUCUCGGUGCGUAAAUUCACAGAGAAACAUGAAUGGAUGGCAACAGAAAAUGAUAUUGGAACACUGGGAGUCAGCAGUUUUGCACAGGAAACGUUGGGAGAUAUUGUUUACUGUAGUCUGCCUGAAGUUGGGACAAAAGAACAAACAAGAUGAGUUUGGUGCUUUGGAAAGUGUGAAAGCUGCUAGUGAACUCUAUUCUCCUUUAUCAGGAGAAGUAACUUAAAUUAAUGAAGCUCUUGGAGAAAAUCCAGGACUUGUAAACAAAUCUUGUUAUGAAGAUGGUUGGCUGAUCAAGAUGACACUAAGUAACCCUUCAGAACUAGAUGAACUUAUGAGUGAAGAAGUAUAUGAGAGAUAGAGAAAAUCUAUUGAGGA
This 475-nucleotide long non-coding RNA is filed under the name Homo sapiens (human). RNAcentral describes it as "non-protein coding lnc-ZNF107-4:2". Lineage: Eukaryota; Metazoa; Chordata; Mammalia; Primates; Hominidae. The record is from RNAcentral.